Molecule: ribosomal RNA, 1434 nt
Filed under: uncultured bacterium
Lineage: Bacteria
Description: bacterial SSU rRNA
Rfam family: Bacterial small subunit ribosomal RNA
Source: RNAcentral
AGAGUUUGAUCCUGGCUCAGGAUGAACGCCGGCGGUGUGCCUAAUACAUGCAAGUCGUACGCACUGGCCCAACUGAUUGAUGGUGCUUGCACCUGAUUGACGUUGGAUCACCAGUGAGUGACGGACGGGUGAGUAACACGUAGGUAACCUGCCCCGGAGCGGGGGAUAACAUUUGGAAACAGAUGCUAAUACCGCAUAACAACAAAAGCCACAUGGCUUUUGUUUGAAAGAUGGCUUUGGCUAUCACUCUGGGAUGGACCUGCGGUGCAUUAGCUAGUUGGUAAGGUAACGGCUUACCAAGGCGAUGAUGCAUAGCCGAGUUGAGAGACUGAUCGGCCACAAUGGAACUGAGACACGGUCCAUACUCCUACGGGAGGCAGCAGUAGGGAAUCUUCCACAAUGGGCGCAAGCCUGAUGGAGCAACACCGCGUGAGUGAAGAAGGGUUUCGGCUCGUAAAGCUCUGUUGUUGGAGAAGAACGUGCGUGAGAGUAACUGUUCACGCAGUGACGGUAUCCAACCAGAAAGUCACGGCUAACUACGUGCCAGCAGCCGCGGUAAUACGUAGGUGGCAAGCGUUAUCCGGAUUUAUUGGGCGUAAAGCGAGCGCAGGCGGUUGCUUAGGUCUGAUGUGAAAGCCUUCGGCUUAACCGAAGAAGUGCAUCGGAAACCGGGCGACUUGAGUGCAGAAGAGGACAGUGGAACUCCAUGUGUAGCGGUGGAAUGCGUAGAUAUAUGGAAGAACACCAGUGGCGAAGGCGGCUGUCUGGUCUGCAACUGACGCUGAGGCUCGAAAGCAUGGGUAGCGAACAGGAUUAGAUACCCUGGUAGUCCAUGCCGUAAACGAUGAGUGCUAGGUGUUGGAGGGUUUCCGCCCUUCAGUGCCGGAGCUAACGCAUUAAGCACUCCGCCUGGGGAGUACGACCGCAAGGUUGAAACUCAAAGGAAUUGACGGGGGCCCGCACAAGCGGUGGAGCAUGUGGUUUAAUUCGAAGCUACGCGAAGAACCUUACCAGGUCUUGACAUCUUGCGCUAACCUUAGAGAUAAGGCGUUCCCUUCGGGGACGCAAUGACAGGUGGUGCAUGGUCGUCGUCAGCUCGUGUCGUGAGAUGUUGGGUUAAGUCCCGCAACGAGCGCAACCCUUGUUACUAGUUGCCAGCAUUAAGUUGGGCACUCUAGUGAGACUGCCGGUGACAAACCGGAGGAAGGUGGGGACGACGUCAGAUCAUCAUGCCCCUUAUGACCUGGGCUACACACGUGCUACAAUGGACGGUACAACGAGUCGCAAGCUCGCGAGAGUAAGCUAAUCUCUUAAAGCCGUUCUCAGUUCGGACUGUAGGCUGCAACUCGCCUACACGAAGUCGGAAUCGCUAGUAAUCGCGGAUCAGCAUGCCGCGGUGAAUACGUUCCCGGGCCUUGUACACACCGCCCGUCA